Molecule: ribosomal RNA, 226 nt
Filed under: uncultured bacterium
Lineage: Bacteria
Description: partial 16S ribosomal RNA
Rfam family: Bacterial small subunit ribosomal RNA
Source: RNAcentral
CACGUAGGACGCAAGCGUUAUCCGGAAUUACUGGGCGUAAAGGGCGUGUAGGCGGCACGGUAAGUCAACCGUGAAAGCUCCCGGCUAAACUGGGAGAGGUCGGAUGAGACUGCCGAGCUAGAGGGUCGUAGAGGGGUGUGGAAUUCCGGGUGUAGUGGUGAAAUGCGUAGAGAUCCGGAGGAACACCAGAGGCGAAGGCGGCACCCUGGACGACACCAGACGCUGA